Molecule: small nuclear RNA, 145 nt
Organism: Engraulis encrasicolus (European anchovy)
Lineage: Eukaryota; Metazoa; Chordata; Actinopteri; Clupeiformes; Engraulidae
Product: U4 spliceosomal RNA
Exons: 1
Source: RefSeq, a predicted model, not a curated record
AUUCUUGCGCAGUGGCAGUAUCGUAGCCUAUGAGGUUUAUCCGAGGCGCGAUUAUUGCUAGUUGAAAACUUUAACCAAUUCCCGCUUUGACGACUUGAAAUAUAGUCGGCAAUGGCAAUUUUUGAUUGUUAGGAGAAGUUACUGA